UCUCGAACUUAUGAAAUUCCUUCCAGCGAAUCUAUAGCUUUAGCACUCUGAACACCAAGUUGUGUUUAAUUUGAAAAUAAGCUCAGAAAGUUGAAGAUUUUGUGAAUUAUCCAAGUCCCCUUAUAGGUGACUCAUCCAUUUUUGGACGAUGAUGGAGGGAAUUCAGAGUCAUUCCAGUGCCUUCUCUUUUAAUGUAUACAGAGGCUUUGCUUGUUGUAACUUGUAACAAAUGUUGGUUGCUUGGUUCUUCUCGUGAGAUGCCUAUCUGAUAAGGCUAUCAAGGUGUAUGUUACAAACAGAUUUCAAAAGUAGAAGUUAUAAAACAAGUUAGCAAUAGUUAGGCAGUUUAUAAGUGGUUAGUGAAAGUUAUUAAGUAUAAUAGGGGUUAUCUUUUAAGGAGGAAAUUCUCCCUGCGGGCUGGGUGUGUAUUUUCAUUCUAGAACAAGGUUUGUUCUGUGUAGAAAGGAUUUCCUUAAUUCUUUUGAAAGUUGUUAAAUGUUUUCUGGAUUAUGUAUUUCUUAAUUAGAGCAUUAUCUUACAUUGUGCACUAAGAUUUGUGUGUUAAUUUUUUAACUGAAUUUGAAAUCUGGUUUUUUUAUUUCUAAACAAUUUAACAAUUUGGUUUGACCUACCAAAUCAAAAACACCAAAAGAAUCAGAGAGUAGAGUAAGCAUAGUAGAGAAGACAAUUGAGGAAACGAGGGAGAAAUCUAGAACCAACUUUCAAAGGCUCAAUGAUAUGCUGGAGAAUGUUAUGCGUAGACUUGAGAAUAUUGAAAAGGGGUCUGAAGAUAGCAAAGGUUUUGCAAAUGAGGAUAAAGUAGGAAGAAGAGAAGAUAUUGAUGACGAAUAGGAGGAAGACAAAAGGGAAUACUAGCAUGGGUGGAUGAAAAAAGUGGAACUUCCUUAGUUUGAGCGAGGGGAUCCAAUUCGGGUGGAUAUCUAGGUUUGAAGUUUUCAUUUGAAGUUGAG
RNAcentral lists this small RNA (971 nucleotides) under Vigna angularis var. angularis. RNAcentral's name for it is "Non-protein coding transcript". Lineage: Eukaryota; Viridiplantae; Streptophyta; Magnoliopsida; Fabales; Fabaceae. The record is from RNAcentral.